This 234-nucleotide ribosomal RNA is filed under the name uncultured bacterium. Its description in RNAcentral is "partial 16S ribosomal RNA". It matches the Rfam family "Bacterial small subunit ribosomal RNA", at positions 28 to 261 of the family's 1533-position model. The record is from RNAcentral.
GACGAACGCUUGCGGCGUGCUUAACACAUGCAAGUCGAGCGGUAAGGCCCUUUCGGGGGUACGACGAGCGGCGAACGGGUGAGUAACACGUGGGUGACCUGCCCUCAGCUCUGGGAUAAGCCUGGGAAACCGGGGUCUAAUACUGGAUAUGACUCCAUGACGCAUGUUGUGGGGUGGAAAGCCUUGUGCGGCUGAGGAUGGGCCCGCGGCCUAUCAGCUUGUUGGUGGGGGUGA